This 207-nucleotide ribosomal RNA is filed under the name uncultured bacterium. RNAcentral's name for it is "partial 16S ribosomal RNA". It matches the Rfam family "Bacterial small subunit ribosomal RNA", at positions 568 to 774 of the family's 1533-position model. The record is from RNAcentral.
AGCGUAGACGGAUGGACAAGUCUGAUGUGAAAGGCUGGGGCUCAACCCCGGGACUGCAUUGGAAACUGCCCGUCUUGAGUGCCGGAGAGGUAAGCGGAAUUCCUAGUGUAGCGGUGAAAUGCAUAGAUAUUAGGAGGAACACCAGUGGCGAAGGCGGCUUACUGGACGGUAACUGACGUUGAGGCUCGAAAGCGUGGGGAGCAAACA